Molecule: long non-coding RNA, 246 nt
Organism: Cucurbita moschata (crookneck pumpkin)
Lineage: Eukaryota; Viridiplantae; Streptophyta; Magnoliopsida; Cucurbitales; Cucurbitaceae
Exons: 3
Source: RefSeq, a predicted model, not a curated record
AAAGAGGGCUUUGAAAUAGGAAUACCGGUGGAAUCAAGAUGUGCCCAUCCUAUUUUUUUUCGAACGACGCAUGAAAGUUAGAGAGAUGAAGAUGAGCAGAGCAAUAGUGAUGAAGGAAGAGGCUUUCGAGAUGUCGUACCACUAGCCUCCAAAGAUUUAGCUGAAAAGUUUGUAAGAGUAUACUCCACGAGCAAAGAUGAUAGAAGACUUACAAUGCAAAGCCUUAACAUGAUAGCGACUCUCAUU